Molecule: ribosomal RNA, 254 nt
Filed under: uncultured bacterium
Lineage: Bacteria
Also listed under: 1 other name
Description: partial 16S ribosomal RNA
Rfam family: Bacterial small subunit ribosomal RNA
Source: RNAcentral
UACGUAGGGUCCAAGCGUUAUCCGGAAUCACUGGGCGUAAAGCGUGCGUAGGUGGAUGUUUAAGUGUAAUGCGAAAUCCUGUGGCUCAACCAUAUGGACUGUAUUGCAUACUGGGCAUCUAGAGGAUGGUAGAGGCAAGUGGAACUGGCAGUGUAGCAGUGAAAUGCGUAGAUAUUGCCAAGAACACCAAUGGCGAAGGCAGCUUGCUGGGCCACACCUGACACUAAGGCACGAAAGCGUGGGGAGCGAACAGG